Molecule: ribosomal RNA, 449 nt
Filed under: uncultured bacterium
Lineage: Bacteria
Description: bacterial SSU rRNA
Rfam family: Bacterial small subunit ribosomal RNA
Source: RNAcentral
GUGGGGAAUCUUGGUCAAUGGGCGCAAGCCUGAACCAGCGACGCCGCGUGAGUGAUGAAGGCCUUCGGGUUGUAAAGCUCUGUGGGGCGAGACGAAAGCGUCGGUUCUAACAGGACCGGCUUUGACGGUAUCGCCUUAGCAAGCACCGGCUAACUCUGUGCCAGCAGCCGCGGUAAGACAGAGGGUGCAAACGUUGCUCGGAAUCACUGGGCGUAAAGGGCGUGUAGGCGGGAAGAUAAGUCAGGUGUGAAAUCCCCAGGCUCAACCUGGGAACUGCACUUGAAACUGUCUUUCUUGAGUGUCGGAGAGGAAAGUGGAAUUCCUGGUGUAGAGGUGAAAUUCGUAGAUAUCAGGAGGAACACCGGUGGCGAAGGCGGCUUUCUGGACGACAACUGACGCUGAGACGCGAAAGCGUGGGGAGCAAACAGGAUUAGAAACCCGAGUAGUCC